CUGACAUGCGUGCAAGUCAACGGGUGAGUAAACCCAUAAGGCGCAAGGAAGCUAACUAGCGGGACCCCCUUGUGGGUUGCACCGCCAACCGACUUAGUUCUUCUGAGAAGGGUUCAAGUGAGAGCAUACUUGUUGGGACCCGAAAGAUGGUGAACUAUGUCUGAGUGGGGUGAAGCUAGAGGAAAUUCUAGUGGAGGCCCGCAACGAUACUGACGUGCAAAUCGUUCGUCUGACUUGGGUUAGGGGUGAAAGACUAACCGAACCGUCUAGUAGUUGG
Molecule: non-coding RNA, 277 nt
Filed under: Nelumbo nucifera (sacred lotus)
Lineage: Eukaryota; Viridiplantae; Streptophyta; Magnoliopsida; Proteales; Nelumbonaceae
Description: Eukaryotic large subunit ribosomal RNA
Rfam family: Eukaryotic large subunit ribosomal RNA
Source: Rfam by way of RNAcentral